This 465-nucleotide ribosomal RNA is filed under the name uncultured bacterium. RNAcentral's name for it is "partial 16S ribosomal RNA". It matches the Rfam family "Bacterial small subunit ribosomal RNA", at positions 28 to 507 of the family's 1533-position model. The record is from RNAcentral.
GACGAACGCUGGCGGCGUGCUUAACACAUGCAAGUCGAACGGAAAGGCCCCUUUGGGGGUACUCGAGUGGCGAACGGGUGAGUAACACGUGAGUAACCUGCCCUUGACUUCGGGAUAACUUCAGGAAACUGGGGCUAAUACCGGAUAGGAAUCCUUGCUGCAUGGUGGGGGUUGGAAAGCUUCGGCGGUUUUGGAUGGACUCGCGGCUUAUCAGCUUGUUGGUGGGGUAGUGGCUUACCAAGGCUUUGACGGGUAGCCGGCCUGAGAGGGCGACCGGCCACAUUGGGACUGAGAGACGGCCCAGACUCCGACGGGAGGCAGCAGUGGGGAAUAUUGCACAAGGGGCGGAAGCCGGAUGCAGCAACGCCGCGUGCGGGAUGACGGCCUUCGGGUUGUAAACCGCUUUCAGCAGGGGCGAAGCUUGUGGUGACGGUACCUGCAGAAGAAGCACCGGCUAACUACGUG